Long non-coding RNA from Mus musculus (house mouse), 771 nucleotides. RefSeq annotates it as predicted gene, 29870. Lineage: Eukaryota; Metazoa; Chordata; Mammalia; Rodentia; Muridae. The record is from RefSeq and is a predicted model, not a curated record. The transcript is spliced from 3 exons.
AAGUCAUUUCCACUACCAACCAUAUGUCUCUGGUUAGAAAUUUGAAACUGAAGAGUGCAGAGUUUGGAAAGAGAAAUGUGCAAAUCAGUCACUUUUCUAAUGAAAUGACAAGGCACCUGUAGCUCCUGAAACGUGUGCUUUGGAUGGGAACGCUGGACCUUUGCCCUGCCUGUUACAGCAUCAAAUUGUACCUGCAUCUGUCAUUUGCUGUGGUCCAAGCUGUGUGAAGCUGAUGAAUAUGCGAGAGUUACAAUUGUACAUCACUGCCAAGAUAUGUGACCCUCCUGAGAUUGCAGUCAUUCCAAGGAGGUGAAUUCCUGUGUCAUUGUGGGUAUCAUGCAUGACCUAUUGGGUCACCAGCAGCGAAAUCCUCACGAUAUCCAGGUCAUUGUGGUAGUUCAAAUUUUCAUUCCAAAGAAGGGGAGUCACAUGCUAUCCUUCUCUUUACAAGUGACUAGUGUAGGAUAGAAUCUCUGUCCAACUUAGAAACAGUUUCUCCUCAUUAUCAAGAAUGUUCUGAAAGCAAAUCAGCUGCUGUUUUAGUCAUCAGUACCACUUUCUGGUGGGUUUACUAUUCCUCCCUGUCUUAGAAAUAGUUUUCUUUUAAUUUUAUCCCCCUAUCCUGCCACCCUUUAAAACUCUUUUCCUCAUUUCCCACAUUUCUACUGUGCUCUGUCUUCCUCUCCCAUCCUGUAAUUUUUUGGAGUCACAGGCUCAGUCUUGGGUCUUUGGCUCAUUUUACCCUAGAUUCAUCCUAUACACAUUUUCAUC